Molecule: long non-coding RNA, 439 nt
Filed under: Carica papaya (papaya)
Lineage: Eukaryota; Viridiplantae; Streptophyta; Magnoliopsida; Brassicales; Caricaceae
Description: long non-coding RNA (CPAP_LNC003933)
Source: RNAcentral
CGGCUGGGUGUUUUUCUUUGGUCAACCUGUAUAAAAUAGAACUGGUGAAAAAAAUUGCGCAAAAUGGGAAACGGAAAGGGGAUCAUCAGAGGAGGUUUUAAGUUUUGCUUGCGGCGGUAUCACUGGGCUUUGCCCUCGAUUUUUGGCUCACCUACCAUUUUUUUUGCUCCAAUUUGGCCAUAGGGGUGCUCAGAAUCAAAUUUCAAGCAGAUAGGAGAAUUUUUACCUUUUUUGGCGAUCGGCUCCCUUCUCCGGUGACUGGUUCUUCUUCUUCGGCGAGAGGCUAGUGGCUAGGGUUUAGGUUUAGUGUGAUGCGAGAUAUUUAUACUUGUCUCACGUUAAUUUGGACUGUUUAUCACUUUUGAUCUCGAUCAUCUUAUCACGUUUAAAGAAAAAAUAAAUCUGGACCGUUCAUCGCAAUUUAAUUUCCUUUGCUUAU